This 400-nucleotide ribosomal RNA is filed under the name phytoplankton environmental sample. Its description in RNAcentral is "partial small subunit ribosomal RNA". It matches the Rfam family "Eukaryotic small subunit ribosomal RNA", at positions 587 to 984 of the family's 1831-position model. The record is from RNAcentral.
AGCUCCAAUAGCGUAUAUUAAAGUUGUUGCAGUUAAAAAGCUCGUAGUUGGAUUUCUGGUAGCAUGGAUCUGGCCCGCCUCUUAUGAGGUGAGCGUCGGACUUCAUCUGCCAUCCUCGCGGCUAACGUUCCUGCCAUUCAGUUGGUCGGGUUCGCGAACCGUGUCAUUUACUUUGAAAAAAUUAGAGUGUUUAAAGCAGGCUAUUGCUAUGAAUACAUUAGCAUGGAAUAAUAACUUAGGACUUCGGUUCUAUUUUGUUGGUUUUCUUGGAAUUGGAGUAAUGAUUGAUAGGGAUAGUUGGGGGUGCUAGUAUUGUGCGGCCAGAGGUGAAAUUCUUGGAUUCGCGCAAGACUAACUUAUGCGAAAGCAUUCACCAAGGAUGUCUUCUUUAAUCAAGAAC